RNAcentral lists this transfer RNA (58 nucleotides) under Pseudomonas guariconensis. RNAcentral's name for it is "tRNA-Asp". It matches the Rfam family "tRNA", at positions 8 to 62 of the family's 71-position model. Rfam says of the family: Transfer RNA (tRNA) molecules are approximately 80 nucleotides in length. Their secondary structure includes four short double-helical elements and three loops (D, anti-codon, and T loops). Further hydrogen bonds mediate the characteristic L-shaped molecular structure. tRNAs have two regions of fundamental functional importance: the anti-codon, which is responsible for specific mRNA codon recognition, and the 3' end, to which the tRNAs corresponding amino acid is attached (by aminoacyl-tRNA synthetases). tRNAs cope with the degeneracy of the genetic code in two manners: having more than one tRNA (with a specific anti-codon) for a particular amino acid; and 'wobble' base-pairing, i.e. permitting non-standard base-pairing at the 3rd anti-codon position. The record is from RNAcentral. Lineage: Bacteria; Pseudomonadati; Pseudomonadota; Gammaproteobacteria; Pseudomonadales; Pseudomonadaceae.
UAGUUCAGUCGGUUAGAAUACCGGCCUGUCACGCCGGGGGUCGCGGGUUCGAGUCCCG